Long non-coding RNA from Xiphophorus couchianus (Monterrey platyfish), 578 nucleotides. RefSeq lists it as uncharacterized. The transcript is spliced from 2 exons. The record is from RefSeq and is a predicted model, not a curated record. NCBI's taxonomy places the organism in Eukaryota, Metazoa, Chordata, Actinopteri, Cyprinodontiformes, Poeciliidae.
AUGCUGUCAAUAUAAAAAGCAGCUUAGAGCAGACAAGGUGUAAAAGGUGCAACUAAUUAAAGAUCACUGAUGUUAUGUUGGAGGUAAAUGGUAGGUGAAAGGUUAAGUAAAAGAGGAACUAAGAGGAGGAGAGAUGACCAACGCCUCAGAGUUUGCUGAUUUGGAAACAGAUUGAACAACUUCAACUGUUGAAAGAAAAAGAUUGUGCAGGUAAAGGAUGUAGGUGACCUUUGAGCAACACCAGGACAUGAAAACAGACAUCAGGUCAUAAUGUCUCUAAGAUAAUGAUGGAUAUAAGAUCAUCUAUCCAAGCAGACAGCCAAUGAACAUCCAUAAGGUGGAAGCCCCUAUAAAAGGUGAGUGCAAAGGAGGAACCUUUGUUGGAUCCUCCAGGCAGCCGCGAGACAAGAUUGAGAUGGACAAAGAAUUCUUCAGCUGAAGAGCCGGGACCACAGAACCAAAGACUGUCCUGUGCAUGGGGACCAAACCAUCAGCCCCGCAACAUGUGGCUUCAAAUCGAGUUUCUCUCAUCAGCUGGGUUCAGACCGCAAAGACCAAGAUGAAGGCCAAGGCAAAGA